Molecule: long non-coding RNA, 511 nt
Organism: Dreissena polymorpha
Lineage: Eukaryota; Metazoa; Mollusca; Bivalvia; Myida; Dreissenidae
Exons: 5
Source: RefSeq, a predicted model, not a curated record
AGUCCGGCUAGUAUGGUAAUACGGAAUUGGAAACAGCGAGUAGCGUAAUACGGGAUUUUUUAUUUCAACGAUUGAUACAGCCUGUAUUUUGUUAAAAGCAUUAAACAGUGUCGGACUGUUGCAAAUGCCCGCAAAAAUCAUAAAGAAGUACAGAAGACUGGAGGUGGGGAGGCUGUACAGGGACUUAGAUCUACUACUGUACAAGAAAAGAAAAUCCUGAAAAUGACAGUUUCACAGCAUAACAAACAGAGUCACAAGCUGUUGCAGAUAAAGAGGAGGUAGUAUCCAAACCACUGAAAAAAAAGAAGAAGACCAGUGUUGAAUCAUGCCAAUGUUCUGCUGAGCUGCUGGACAUUCAGGAAAACUUCUUGUGGAGGCUGUUCGCAGUAAUGAAUUGAACCAGGAGAGAAACCUCUUCCUUGAAAAAAUAAGUUAAAGUCUUUCAGUUCUGGUUACUAAGCAGUAUUCAGAUAAUUUGAUGUUUGAAUUGUAAGCUUAUAAUGAAUUGUGU